UAGCCUAGUGGUUAAGGCCAUGGAUCGCCAAUCCGGAAAUGGCGGGUUCGAUUCCCGU
Molecule: non-coding RNA, 58 nt
Organism: Aedes albopictus (Asian tiger mosquito)
Lineage: Eukaryota; Metazoa; Arthropoda; Insecta; Diptera; Culicidae
Source: Rfam